GAGUUUGAUCCUGGCUCAGAACGAACGCUGGCGGCAGGCCUAACACAUGCAAGUCGAGCGAGACCUUCGGGUCUAGCGGCGGACGGGUUAGUAACGCGUGGGAACGUGCCCUUCUCUGCGGAAUAGCCACUGGAAACGGUGAGUAAUACCGCAUACGCCCUUCGGGGGAAAGAUUUAUCGGAGAAGGAUCGGCCCGCGUUAGAUUAGAUAGUUGGUGGGGUAAUGGCCUACCAAGUCUACGAUCUAUAGCUGGUUUUAGAGGAUGAUCAGCAACACUGGGACUGAGACACGGCCCAGACUCCUACGGGUGGCAGCAGUGGGGAAUCUUAGACAAUGGGCGCAAGCCUGAUCUAGCCAUGCCGCGUGUGUGAUGAAGGUCUUAGGAUCGUAAAGCACUUUCGCCAGGGAUGAUAAUGACAGUACCUGGUAAAGAAACCCCGGCUAACUCCGUGCCAGCAGCCGCGGUAAUACGGAGGGGGUUAGCGUUGUUCGGAAUUACUGGGCGUAAAGCGUACGUAGGCGGAUCAGAAAGUAAGGGGUGAAAUCCCAGGGCUCAACCCUGGAACUGCCUCUUAAACUCCUGGUCUUGAGUUCGAGAGAGGUGAGUGGAAUUCCAAGUCUAGAGGUGAAAUUCGUAGAUAUUUGGAGGAACACCAGUGGCGAAGGCGGCUCACUGGCUCGAUACUGACGCUGAGGUACGAAAGUGUGGGGAGCAAACAGGAUUAGAUACCCUGGUAGUCCACACCGUAAACGAUGAGUGCCAGUCGUCGGGCAGUAUACUGUUCGGUGACACACCUAACGGAUUAAGCAUUCCGCCUGGGGAGUACGGUCGCAAGAUUAAAACUCAAAGGAAU
This 854-nucleotide ribosomal RNA is filed under the name uncultured bacterium. RNAcentral describes it as "bacterial SSU rRNA". It matches the Rfam family "Bacterial small subunit ribosomal RNA", at positions 9 to 910 of the family's 1533-position model. The record is from RNAcentral.